RNAcentral lists this long non-coding RNA (3388 nucleotides) under Sus scrofa (pig). Its description in RNAcentral is "lncRNA (ENSSSCG00000062018.1)". Lineage: Eukaryota; Metazoa; Chordata; Mammalia; Artiodactyla; Suidae. The record is from RNAcentral.
GGGUUAAUAGAUGCAAACUAUUACAUUUGGAGUAGAUAAGCAAUGAGGUCCUGCUGUACAGCACAGAGAACUAUGUCCAGUCUCUUGUGACAGGAUAUGAUAGAAGAUAAUAUGAAAAAAAGAACAUACACAUAUAAUAUAUAUGUAUAUAUAAAAAACUGUGUCACUUUUUUGUACUGCAGAACUUGACAGAACAUGGUAAAUCGACUAUAGCAAAAUUUAAAAAUAAAAAAUAGUUCACACACAAAAAAGCCGAGACUGAGAGUGGGCGGACUUGAUUAGAAUGCCAGUUUUGCAACUGACUAAGCUGUCUCAGUUUCCCCAAAUAUGAAAUGAAGGCAUAAUAGCAACUCCCUUAGCACUGUAAACAGGCUUAUACAAGUUAAUAUUUAUAAAGUUCUUGGAACAGUGCUUUCAAUGUCAAAGUACUGUGUAAAUAAAAAUUUAGCAUUUCUGACUAUGCUGGGGGGAAAAAAGGCGCCUCUUUGUCUGGAAAGAGGCAGUUCUGGUCCUUGUCACGCAUGAGCUAGAGUUGAGUUCAAACAAAGGGGGUUUUGCUGGUGAGAAAAAGAAGCAACCAUAGCAUGAAGAUCAUCCAAUCCAUCAGCUACUAGCCUGUAAACCAUUUUGCUUCUCUGCCUCCUAAAAAAAAAAAAAAAAAAGAGUUUUUUCCUGCAGCUCACACAGUUGAAGAUGGAUAGCCAAAAUUGUAUUAGAACUUUAAGUAAGGUUAUUUUUGUUAUUAGGAGGUAGAAAAUAUAAAAUAAGGCAUUCCCUGGUGGCUCAGCAGGUUAAGGAUAUGGCAUGAUCACUGCUGUGGCUCAGGUUGCUGCUGUGGCAUGGAUUCGUUGCCUGGCUUGGGAGUUUCUGCGUGCCACAGGCAUGGCCAAAAAAAAAAAGAAUAUAUGUAAAAUUUAUAUAUAUAUGAGAUAAGAUGAGGCUUGACUGUAAUUGCAAACAGUUAUCUCACAAUUUGAUUUGAAAACACAGACUUUACUUAGCUUAUUGAAUGAAGCGGGACAAAUCUAAAAAAAAUUGCAUAAAAUGUUGAUGAGUGGAUUUAUCAAAUAUAUCACCAGCAUUUUUGUUAGACACACAAAAAAUACUCCAGCUGCUUUUAAAAUGUUGAGCUUCAAUAAUCUACACUGCUUUGGCUGUGGGGAGUUGACAUCAUCCAUCUCUGGACAAUCUAGGAUUUCACUUUACCAGCACCGGGAUUUUAGAGCAUUGGGUGUGAGAUGGGGAAGGAUAGCAAGCCCCGUGUGCUUACGUUGCCUCGAUAAAUCAGUAAAAGGGUCUUCCUUGAAUCAUUGUUUCCAUUUAUGUCUUUGUUGAGCUCUCCAGAAAAUAUCGGCCUCCCGGGCAGUGCACUGUCCUAAGAAUUAGGAUAGAUGAUAGUGAUAGGUAUGCUUUUCUUCUUUCUAAACCAAUAGGAAAAUUUUACUAAAAUCUUUUCUAAACAAUAAUGAACCAAGCUCCCGCUCAAUUAAAUCAUCUUCGAUAUAUAGAAAAAUAUAGAUAUAUGAUAUUGAUAGAGAAAUAGAUGGAAGUUGAGGAUCCUGAAAUUGAUAAUUUUUUUUUUUUUUUUUUGCUUUUUAGGGCCAAACCCAUAGCAUAUGGAGGUUCCCAGGCUAGGGAUGGACUUGGAGCUACAGCUGCCAACCUACACCAUAGCCACAGCAACAUGGGAUCCGAGCCUGCAGCCUUCACCACAGCUCACGACAGCCCUGGAUCCUUAACCCACUGAGCGGGGCCAGGGAUCGAAGUCGCAAGUCCUCAUAGAUGCUUGCUGAGUUCGUGGACUGCUGAGCCAUGAAAGGAACUCCUGAAAUUGAUUCCUUUUAAAAAGAUGGGCAUGUGCCUAGAUGACCCAUAUUUCCUCCACAGCUUCCCUUUUCCUGCAGACAGAUGGAAGGAAGGGGUGUGUUUUUCAUCUUCCCAAGGGCUGCUGAUGGUUGGUGGUUAAUGGAAGCUAGCAGGAAGAAAUACAUGUUACUGGGGGUUAGGGUUGCUUGUUGCAGGUCGGAAAGACAGAGAAUGAACUGGGAGAAGAUUCCCAUAAGACGUGUCACCAGUUACGGGUGGAAAGAAGACCUGUGAUUGUGUUAGGCACGAGUGGCUAUUUUCAACCCUCUUCCAUCUACUCCCUCCACCCUCCAUGCCUCAGAUACUAGUUAUAACUGUUUUCCAAAUUGCAAUAUGCCAAAGGUUAUAGAUAGCUACACUGACAAAAGUAACUUUAUAAAGACUAUCUAUUGAGGGUUUUUUAGACAUAUAAUUCCUUUCCAUCUGUCCUUUCAAAUAAAGGUUGCAGAGUUCCCGUUGUGGCUAUGUGGUUAACAAACCCAACUAGGAUCCACGAGGUUGUGAGUUCGAUCCCUGGCCUCGUUCAGUAGGUUAAGGAUCCAGCGUUGCCGUGAGCUGUGGUGUAGGCCACAGUCGAAGCUCGGAUCCUGCGUUGCUGUGGCUGUGGUAUAGGCUGGUGGCUACAGCUCCGAUUGGACCCCUAGCCUGGCCCUAGAAAAGCCCCCCAAAAAAGUCAAAUAAAGGUUGAGUUGCUAAAUAACAACCCAAUAAGGUUGUUACUGCCUUUCUUGUCUUUCUCAAAAAAAAUAAAUAAAUAACAAAUCUUUAUAAAUAUUCAGAAGCUUUGACUACAUCAAAGUGACCAGUAGAACAUUGCAAAUGAGAAAGAGAAAAUAUUUGCAAGACAAUUGGCAUUUCAUUUUUAGAGAAAGCUGUUUUCUGACAGUAGUAGUUUAGCAUUUUUGCUUUCAUUUUAUUUAGAAGUAAACCCAAUGGAGAAACUGUAGUUUAGAAGAAAAGACAGUAUGAAAAGGAACCCAGUUUCCCCUCUCAUCUCCAUACAUAAUAUAUGCUUGUGGGAGAGCUUCUAGGGGAACAAACAGGCAAUUGAUUGCAAUGACUAUUCUCUAUUUAUUCCAGUGAUAAAAUGAAAGAUUGGACUCACCACGGUUUUUUUUUUUUUUUCCUUAAAGAACUUAAAGAAAAAUUGGUUUAUUUGAUGUCAUACUAUGUCCUCAGCAGUUAACAAAUUUGUAGGCAUCUCUUUUAUUUUACUGUAAUACCACUACGUAUUGAAUUCAUUUUUUUAAUUGUAGCAAAUUCAGAUAUUUAUUUUCAAUCCUGAAAUUUUCUAAUUCUACUGUUCCUUUUGCCUGAGGUAAAAAUAAAUAUGACAAUCAUGAAUGGAGGGGGGAGAUAAUUUAUUCCUACAUAUACAUUUAAUCAGUCAGCCAGACUGCUCACUAUGUAUGUGCAUUUGUAUCUACUUUUAUCUGUGAAAAUGCUCUAGGCUGCUGGAAACAGAAAAGGCAUUUAUCUCACAGAACAAGAGGACUCAAAAUGGGGUGCCUCCAGGGUUGGG